AAUUAUGAAAGCAAAAAAUUAUGGCGGUAUUUUAAGCUUUUCAGAGGAAUUUGCUCUUUAAUGGAUAAAACACCUAAAUCUUACUUAAAUUUGUUAUUUCAAUUUGUAUACCACUAUAAAAAUAAUUAAUAACUUUAAUUAUUUAAAUUUACCAAAUUAAAUUAUAUUAAGUCAAGGUGCAGUAAAAAUUUAAGAAUGAAGUGAAUUACAUUACUUUUUAGAGAAAAAAAAUUAAAUUUAUAUUUAGGAUUUGAAAGUAAAAUUAAAAUAGAAUGUUAAUUUGAAUCAAGCUCUAAAAUAUGUACACAUCGCCCGUCGCUCUCAU
RNAcentral lists this ribosomal RNA (325 nucleotides) under Rhipicephalus sanguineus (brown dog tick). RNAcentral describes it as "partial 12S ribosomal RNA". The record is from RNAcentral. Lineage: Eukaryota; Metazoa; Arthropoda; Arachnida; Ixodida; Ixodidae.